AACGAACGCUGGCGGCAUGCCUAACACAUGCAAGUCGAACGAGAUCUUCGGGUCUAGUGGCGCACGGGUGCGUAACGCGUGGGAAUCUGCCCUUUGGUUCGGAAUAACAGUUGGAAACGACUGCCAAUACCGGAUGAUGACGAAAGUCCAAAGAUUUAUCGCCAGAGGAUGAGCCCGCGUAGGAUUAGCUAGUUAGUGUGGUAAAGGCGCACCAAGGCGACGAUCCUUAGCCGGUCUGAGAGGAUGAUCAGCCACGCUGGGACUGAGACACGGCCCAGACUCCUACGGGAGGCAGCAGUGGGGAAUAUUGGACAAUGGGCGAAAGCCUGAUCCAGCAAUGCCGCGUGAGUGAUGAAGGCCUUAGGGUUGUAAAGCUCUUUUACCCGGGAUGAUAAUGACAGUACCGGGAGAAUAAGCUCCGGCUAACUCCGUGCCAGCAGCCGCGGUAA
Molecule: ribosomal RNA, 449 nt
Filed under: uncultured bacterium
Lineage: Bacteria
Description: partial 16S ribosomal RNA
Rfam family: Bacterial small subunit ribosomal RNA
Source: RNAcentral